UUGCUUUGGCAGAAGGCAGCACAUAUACUAAAAUUGGACACACGGAGAAGAUUAGCAUGGACCCUGCACACGGAUGACAUGCAAAUUCAUGAAGUGUUCUGUAUUUUA
This 108-nucleotide small nuclear RNA is filed under the name Neogale vison (American mink). The record is from RNAcentral. Lineage: Eukaryota; Metazoa; Chordata; Mammalia; Carnivora; Mustelidae.